This 99-nucleotide small nuclear RNA is filed under the name Mus spicilegus (steppe mouse). The record is from RNAcentral. Lineage: Eukaryota; Metazoa; Chordata; Mammalia; Rodentia; Muridae.
GUGUUCCCCCAUUCAGCAGCAUACACACUAAAAUUGGAACAAUACAGAAAAGAUUAGUUUUGGCAAUGAUGACAUGCAAAUUCAAUUCAUAAAAUAUUU